RNAcentral lists this ribosomal RNA (1530 nucleotides) under Escherichia coli O104:H4 str. Ec11-4988. RNAcentral describes it as "bacterial SSU rRNA". It matches the Rfam family "Bacterial small subunit ribosomal RNA". The record is from RNAcentral. Lineage: Bacteria; Pseudomonadati; Pseudomonadota; Gammaproteobacteria; Enterobacterales; Enterobacteriaceae.
AGAGUUUGAUCAUGGCUCAGAUUGAACGCUGGCGGCAGGCCUAACACAUGCAAGUCGAACGGUAACAGGAAACAGCUUGCUGUUUCGCUGACGAGUGGCGGACGGGUGAGUAAUGUCUGGGAAACUGCCUGAUGGGGGGGGAUAACUACUGGAAACGGUAGCUAAUACCGCAUAACGUCGCAAGACCAAAGAGGGGGACCUUCGGGCCUCUUGCCAUCGGAUGUGCCCAGAUGGGAUUAGCUUGUUGGUGGGGUAACGGCUCACCAAGGCGACGAUCCCUAGCUGGUCUGAGAGGAUGACCAGCCACACUGGAACUGAGACACGGUCCAGACUCCUACGGGAGGCAGCAGUGGGGAAUAUUGCACAAUGGGCGCAAGCCUGAUGCAGCCAUGCCGCGUGUAUGAAGAAGGCCUUCGGGUUGUAAAGUACUUUCAGCGGGGAGGAAGGGAGUAAAGUUAAUACCUUUGCUCAUUGACGUUACCCGCAGAAGAAGCACCGGCUAACUCCGUGCCAGCAGCCGCGGUAAUACGGAGGGUGCAAGCGUUAAUCGGAAUUACUGGGCGUAAAGCGCACGCAGGCGGUUUGUUAAGUCAGAUGUGAAAUCCCCGGGCUCAACCUGGGAACUGCAUCUGAUACUGGCAAGCUUGAGUCUCGUAGAGGGGGGUAGAAUUCCAGGUGUAGCGGUGAAAUGCGUAGAGAUCUGGAGGAAUACCGGUGGCGAAGGCGGCCCCCUGGACGAAGACUGACGCUCAGGUGCGAAAGCGUGGGGAGCAAACAGGAUUAGAUACCCUGGUAGUCCACGCCGUAAACGAUGUCGACUUGGAGGUUGUGCCCUUGAGGCGUGGCUUCCGGAGCUAACGCGUUAAGUCGACCGCCUGGGGAGUACGGCCGCAAGGUUAAAACUCAAAUGAAUUGACGGGGGCCCGCACAAGCGGUGGAGCAUGUGGUUUAAUUCGAUGCAACGCGAAGAACCUUACCUGGUCUUGACAUCCACAGAACUUUCCAGAGAUGGAUUGGUGCCUUCGGGAGCUGUGAGACAGGUGCUGCAUGGCUGUCGUCAGCUCGUGUUGUGAAAUGUUGGGUUAAGUCCCGCAACGAGCGCAACCCUUAUCCUUUGUUGCCAGCGGUCCGGCCGGGAACUCAAAGGAGACUGCCAGUGAUAAACUGGAGGAAGGUGGGGAUGACGUCAAGUCAUCAUGGCCCUUACGACCAGGGCUACACACGUGCUACAAUGGCGCAUACAAAGAGAAGCGACCUCGCGAGAGCAAGCGGACCUCAUAAAGUGCGUCGUAGUCCGGAUUGGAGUCUGCAACUCGACUCCAUGAAGUCGGAAUCGCUAGUAAUCGUGGAUCAGAAUGCCACGGUGAAUACGUUCCCGGGCCUUGUACACACCGCCCGUCACACCAUGGGAGUGGGUUGCAAAAGAAGUAGGUAGCUUAACCUUCGGGAGGGCGCUUACCACUUUGUGAUUCAUGACUGGGGUGAAGUCGUAACAAGGUAACCGUAGGGGAACCUGCGGUUGGAUCACCU